GUAUAUAUUAUUGUUUAAUAUUGUUUAAUUUAUUGCUUGUCAGUCAUUCACAUUUAUUAAAAAUAGUCACUUUAUUAAAUAAUGUGAGAAACUCUAUGUUCUUUGCGAAUAGACCAUGAAUUAUGAAAGGAUGUGACAAGUAUCAGUAAUGCAGGAAGAUGCAGAGGUAGAGCAAGAAGAGUAGUGAAAAGAGAGACCUAAAUAAGGAGCAAAUUAUUGGCAUGGGAAAAAUUCCAAUACAAUUUCCUGGUCUGAACACUUCUGUGUUUAGAGGAAAAGAAUUAAUUCAACAGCUGAAACUGCUUGUAAAUUUUGAAAGAAAGCAAAAACUUAUGGAAUUACCACAAAGUCAGACCAGGCCAAUGCAAAUAAAAUUAUCGCCAUUGGAAUGUGGUUGGAGGAGUGUUAUAAUGGAUGGCAAAAGCAUUGAAUCAGAUCUUAUUGGAAAAGAUACAUUUGAAAGUUUUGAAACCUGGAUUUUGGAAAACAAAAUGAUAACUUGUAUGACCAGUAAUUUAGCACGUAAGACUAGAAUCAAUUCAUUUAUAGUAAAUGUAUUAUAUAUUCAUAUAUUCAUAUAUUAUAUAUUCAUUUAUAGUAAAUUUAUGGGAAUGGAAAUGGAUUGGCUGGAUUUGCGUUAUGAAAAGCCAAAGCAUCCCUAAAGACGAUUAAAAAUAGGGCUGGUCAAAGAUUAAUGUAUAUUCCUACAUAUAAGGAACACACUGUGUUACAUGAUUUCUUUACACAGUUUGAGAAUAUAAAAAUAUUUGUAAAGAAAAUUCAUGAAGAAUAGUGGGCUUGUUUGUCAUCAUGCGAUAAAAGCAUGUUGCGAGAUAAUUGGCAUAAAAGAUAUAUAUGCCAAAGUACAAGGAGGAAUGUAAAAGCAUUCUUUGGUUUAUUACAAAUAGGUGUGAAUAUAAAGUAUUUAAAGGCA
Camponotus floridanus (Florida carpenter ant) is the source of this 934-nucleotide long non-coding RNA. RefSeq lists it as uncharacterized. The record is from RefSeq and is a predicted model, not a curated record. NCBI's taxonomy places the organism in Eukaryota, Metazoa, Arthropoda, Insecta, Hymenoptera, Formicidae. The transcript is spliced from 4 exons.